GAAGGGGGCUAGCGUUGUUCGGAAUUACUGGGCGUAAAGGGCGCGUAGGCGGUGUGUCAAGUCAGGCGUGAAAGCCCCGGGCUCAACCUGGGAACCGCGCUUGAGACUGGCACGCUAGAGUUCGGGAGAGGAUGGUGGAAUUCCCAGUGUAGAGGUGAAAUUCGUAGAUAUUGGGAAGAACACCGAUGGCGAAGGCAGCCAUCUGGACCGACACUGACGCUGAGGCGCGAAAGCGUGGGGAGCAAACAGGAUUAGAUACCCUGGUAGUCCACGCCGUAAACGAUGAGUGCUAGACGUCGGGGCCCUCAGGGCUUCGGUGUCGCAGCUAACGCAUUAAGCACUCCGCCUGGGGAGUACGGCCGCAAGGUUA
Molecule: ribosomal RNA, 370 nt
Filed under: uncultured bacterium
Lineage: Bacteria
Description: bacterial SSU rRNA
Rfam family: Bacterial small subunit ribosomal RNA
Source: RNAcentral